This 226-nucleotide unclassified non-coding RNA is filed under the name fungal sp. RNAcentral's name for it is "partial internal transcribed spacer region". The stretch from base 1 to 46 matches the Rfam family "Eukaryotic small subunit ribosomal RNA", at positions 1786 to 1831 of the family's 1831-position model. Lineage: Eukaryota; Fungi. RNAcentral also lists the same sequence under 1 other name. The record is from RNAcentral.
AAGUCGUAACAAGGUCUCCGUUGGUGAACCAGCGGAGGGAUCAUUAUUGAGUUUCUAUCUCUUCUACCCUUUGUGAACCUUACCUUUUGCCUUCCCUAUACCCUAGGGGAAGCUGUUUUUUUUUUUGUCUACCUAACAUAACUCUUACUAGAUGUUUUUAAACUUGCUGAGUUAAGCAUAUUGUAAAAUGAAAUCAAAACUUUCAACAACGGAUCUCUUGGUUCUG